Molecule: ribosomal RNA, 447 nt
Filed under: uncultured bacterium
Lineage: Bacteria
Description: partial 16S ribosomal RNA
Rfam family: Bacterial small subunit ribosomal RNA
Source: RNAcentral
AACGAACGCUGGCGGCAUGCCUAACACAUGCAAGUCGAACGAUGCCUUCGGGCAUAGUGGCGCACGGGUGCGUAACGCGUGGGAAUCUGCCCUUGGCUUCGGAAUAACAGUUAGAAAUGACUGCUAAUACCGGAUGAUGUCCCCCUGCGAGAUCUUGGGUACCAAAGAUUUAUCGGCCAGGGAUGAGCCCGCGUAGGAUUAGGUAGUUGGUGGGGUAAAGGCCUACCAAGCCGACGAUCCUUAGCUGGUCUGAGAGGAUGAUCAGCCACACUGGGACUGAGACACGGCCCAGACUCCUACGGGAGGCAGCAGUGGGGAAUAUUGGACAAUGGGGGGAACCCUGAUCCAGCAAUGCCGCGUGAGUGAUGAAGGCCUUAGGGUUGCAAAGCUCUUUUACCAGGGAUGAUAAUGACAGUACCUGGAGAAUAAGCUCCGGCUAACUCCGUG